CUUGAGUUACUGCGGAGGACAUUA
This 24-nucleotide ribosomal RNA is filed under the name Amanita fuliginea. RNAcentral describes it as "partial 18S ribosomal RNA". Lineage: Eukaryota; Fungi; Basidiomycota; Agaricomycetes; Agaricales; Amanitaceae. The record is from RNAcentral.